UCCAAGAGCAUGGAAAAUAAGCAAAGUAAUCGAAAGCAUAAAAGGGAAGAGUCUGCCUUUAGAAGUAGCAUUUUUGCAGAAAUGUGAAUGCGCUCUAGUGAAGCCAAGGUUACUUAACAAGGCAAGCGAAAACAGAAUUUACAAGGCAUAUUGCUAAAAAAAUAUCAAUACAAACUACACAAAAAUUGUGAAAUACAUUGGAAGCAAGAAAGCAGCAAGGAUGGUUGAUCUUCUCUGAAAGAGAAUAGAAGAAGUGUAGAGAAGCAAAGUUAAUUCUUUUCAUUGGUUUCCACUGAAUAAAGUAGGUAUUCUGCACUGUAGCGGGGGGGAGGGGCAGUUCUGAAGAGCAAAGUCAAAUCAAUGUAACAAAACAAUGUGACAUUUUAAGCAUGACAAGUUCUGAUGUGAAAUCGUUGUUACAAAAAUUCACAGCUAUUCACUAAAAUUGGAAAUUUUGCCAGCAACUUGAAAAGUAGUCAAUGUGACACCAGUUUUUUUUUUUUAAAGGGCGGCCCUGGAGAGCUAUGAAAUUACAAACCCAUUAGUCUUGUGACUGUUCUGGGUAAAUGUAAACUUUGAAUGAUCAAACAUACAGAGGAACAAGUCUUGCUGAAGGAGAAUUAGCAUGGCUUCCUCAAAGGGAAAUCCUGGCUUACCAGCCUUAGGGCGUUCUUUAAGGAUAACGACAAGCAUGCAAAUAGAAGCAAAUAAAUAUUACAUACCUGGUUUUCUUUUUUUUAAAGGCACCUUUG
Long non-coding RNA from Sphaerodactylus townsendi, 752 nucleotides. RefSeq lists it as uncharacterized. NCBI's taxonomy places the organism in Eukaryota, Metazoa, Chordata, Lepidosauria, Squamata, Sphaerodactylidae. The transcript is spliced from 2 exons. The record is from RefSeq and is a predicted model, not a curated record.